RNAcentral lists this ribosomal RNA (478 nucleotides) under uncultured bacterium. RNAcentral's name for it is "partial 16S ribosomal RNA". It matches the Rfam family "Bacterial small subunit ribosomal RNA", at positions 28 to 523 of the family's 1533-position model. The record is from RNAcentral.
GACGAACGCUGGCGGCGUGCUUAACACAUGCAAGUCGAACGGUAAGGCCCUUCGGGGUACACGAGUGGCGAACGGGUGAGUAACACGUGGGUGAUCUGCCCUGCACUUCGGGAUAAGCCUGGGAAACUGGGUCUAAUACCGGAUAGGACUCCGGACUGCAUGGUCUGGGGUGGAAAGCUUUUGCGGUGUGGGAUGGGCCCGCGGCCUAUCAGCUUGUUGGUGGGGUGAUGGCCUACAAAGGCGACGACGGGGAGCCGGCCUGAGAGGGUGACCGGACGCACUGGGACAGAGAGACGGCCCAGACUCCUACGGGAGGCAGCAGUGGGGAAUAUUGCACAAUGGGCGCAAGCCUGAUGCAGCGACGCCGCGUGAGGGAUGACGGCCUUCGGGUUGUAAACCUCUUUCAGCAUCGACGAAGCGAAAGUGACGGUAGGUGCAGAAGAAGGACCGGCCAACUACGUGCCAGCCGCCGCCGUAA